GGCUGCGGUAUUUUAACCGUGCGAAGGUAGCGCGAUCACUCGUCUUUUAAAUGGAGACCUGUAUGAAAGGGACAACAAGGGGUUAGCUGUCUCCCUUUUUAUGUCAAUGAAAUUGAUUUCCCCCCGCAAAAACGGGGAUUACCCCCUAAGACAAGAAAACCCCCUGAAGCUUUUGAUAACAAAGCAGAUCUGAUAAUAAGCCCCCUAAAAAGAAUAAAGAUACUAACCCCUGCCUUACUAUUUUCUGUUGGGGCGACCACGGCGAGGUAAAUAACCCCCCCCUGGACUGGGAGAAACAACGCUCCCGCUCCUAAAGGCUACCGCCUCCGUUAUCAGAAACUCUGUUUAUCACCUCACAGGAUUCGGCUCAGCUGAUCAACGGACCCAGUGGAUAACAGCACAA
RNAcentral lists this ribosomal RNA (403 nucleotides) under Johnius belangerii (Belanger's croaker). RNAcentral's name for it is "partial large subunit ribosomal RNA". Lineage: Eukaryota; Metazoa; Chordata; Actinopteri; Sciaenidae. The record is from RNAcentral.